AAAAAAAAAAAACCCCAUAAGGCACCACUUCGUGUAAGGCGGAGCACUGCCUUACCAUCUCUAGACAGUAGCAACGCCGUCGCCUUAGCAGCGCCUUAAAAACUAUGGUCUACUGUAAGUUCUUACCUUGGGAGUAUUAAAUGCAAAGAAGCAACUUGGGAAUAGACUAGGCACAAACCUAGCCAUUAGAUUGCGGUACCUUCUUUCAAAAUCCAUUCUGGUCCUUAGUAACAUUUCAAUCUCAGCCCUUCCCCUGCUCCUAUUCUGGUUCAAUACCCAUCCGCCAUCCAUCUUUAACAAAGAAAGAAUUACCUUUCUUGCCAGAUCAAGGGUGCUCUACGAUCAGCUCAACCACCAUGAGAGAUUGCUCUACAAUCAACUCUCUUGCUUUGUUUGCUUUGCCUUGCUUGCUUAUUAGCUUAGCUUGGUUUGAAAAGUCAAGUGCUAGAAAGAAUAAGUUGAAAACCCCUAAUUGUUUCUGCUAGGCCAACAUAUUUCCUUGGAGAACCGGUAAAUACUCCUGCUACAAAGUAGGGUUGUGAUAAGAAAUGUUUGAUUUUGGUCAACUUUUUGCGCAGUUUCAUAAUGUUCCUCACCAACGAUCCGAGGUUGGAGCAUAGUUGACGUUGAAUCUAAACGAUCAAUCAUGUCUACUUAUCUCUCUGUAUCACUGCUUAAGAAAGUUCUUGAGGAAGUUGAAACCAUCAGGAGUUCAAGAUCAAUGGUUCCCAAUUUUGAGCCGCCUCAAAUUGAAGCUAAUGGUGCAGUUAGCAAUUGCACAAAAUGUCUUCACUGUAGGGGUUCCUCCAAGAAUUUAUAUUAAACUCUAUAGGAUUCAAGCUUUACACACGCAGAUGGCUCCCUGAAAAUACAGAACCAGAAGUCUUAAUCUUUCUCUGCCAUGGUUAUGCCAUGGAGUGCAACAUCUCUAUGAAAGGAAGGGGAAUUCAGCUUGCAAUUUGCGGUGUAUGGGAUUGAUUAUGAGGGCCAUGGGAAAUCUACUGGAUUAGAGGCCUAUAUCUUUAGAUUUGAAGACCUUGUCAAUGACUGUUCUAACCAUUUUACAAGCAUAAGAAUGAAAAACAUUCUUCUUCAAUACUUUUUUAUUUGAAUAUAUUCCAAGGAAUUCUAAAGCCUUUACACUAAUUUGCACCCUCUUUUUUUAAAUCCAAUUACCUUAAUAUUGCUCAUGGCAAACAAA
Molecule: RNA transcript, 1201 nt
Organism: Macadamia integrifolia
Lineage: Eukaryota; Viridiplantae; Streptophyta; Magnoliopsida; Proteales; Proteaceae
Exons: 5
Source: RefSeq, a predicted model, not a curated record